RNAcentral lists this ribosomal RNA (749 nucleotides) under Ctenocephalides felis felis. RNAcentral describes it as "SSU rRNA". It matches the Rfam family "Eukaryotic small subunit ribosomal RNA", at positions 158 to 847 of the family's 1831-position model. Lineage: Eukaryota; Metazoa; Arthropoda; Insecta; Siphonaptera; Pulicidae. The record is from RNAcentral.
CUAGAGCUAAUACAUGCAAAUAGAGUUCCGACCAGAGAUGGAAGGAAUGCUUUUAUUAGAUCAAAACCAAUCGGUGGCGGGCUUGCCUUGCUCACCGUUUGACUUGGUGACUCUGAAUAACUUUGUGCUGAUCGCACGGUCUAGUACCGGCGACGCAUCUUUCAAAUGUCUGCCUUAUCAACUGUCGAUGGUAGUUUCUGCGACUACCAUGGUUGUUACGGGUAACGGGGAAUCAGGGUUCGAUUCCGGAGAGGGAGCCUGAGAAACGGCUACCACAUCCAAGGAAGGCAGCAGGCGCGCAAAUUACCCACUCCCGGCACGGGGAGGUAGUGACGAAAAAUAACGAUACGGGACUCAUCCGAGGCCCCGUAAUCGGAAUGAGUACACUUUAAAUCCUUUAACGAGGAUCUAUUAGAGGGCCAGUCUGGUGCCAGCAGCCGCGGUAAUUCCAGCUCUAAUAGCGUAUAUUAAAGUUGUUGCGGUUAAAAAGCUCGUAGUUGAAUCUGUGUCCCACACUGUCGGUUCACCGCUCGCGGUGUUCAACUGGCAUGUCUGUGGGACGUCCUACCGGUGGGCUUAGCCCGUCAAAAGGCGGCCCAACUCAAAAUCCUACCACGGUGCUCUUCACCGAGUGUCGAGGUGGGCCGGUACGUUUACUUUGAACAAAUUAGAGUGCUUAAAGCAGGCUCAUUCGCCUGAAUAUUGUGUGCAUGGAAUAAUGGAAUAGGACCUCGGUUCUAUUUUGUUGG